Drosophila sechellia is the source of this 913-nucleotide RNA transcript. It is a transcript of the gene named cytochrome b-like, with no coding region annotated. The transcript is spliced from 2 exons. The record is from RefSeq and is a predicted model, not a curated record. NCBI's taxonomy places the organism in Eukaryota, Metazoa, Arthropoda, Insecta, Diptera, Drosophilidae.
AUGUUAAUUAUGGUUGAUUAUUACGAACCUUACACGCUAACGGUGCAUCAUUUUUUUUAUUUGUAUUUAUUUACAUUGAUAGGAAGAGCUUAUAUAUGGUUCAUAUAUAUUUACUCCAACUUGAUUAUUUGGGUAAUUAUUUUAUUUUUAGUGAUAGGAACAGCUUUUAUAGGAUAUUUAUUACCUUGAGGACAAAUAUAAUUUUGAGGAGCCACUGUAAUUACUAAUUUAUUGUCAGCUAUUUCUUAUUUAGGUAUAGAUCUAGGUCAAUGAUUAUGAGGUGGAUUUGCUGUUGAUAAUGCUAGUUUAACUCGAUUUUUACAUUUCCUUUUAUUUUACCAUUUAUUGUUCUUGCUAUAACUAUAAUUCAAUUAUUAUUUCAUCAUCAAAUAGGUUCUAAUAACCCUAUUGGAUUAAAUUCUAAUAUUGAUAAAAUUCCUUUUCAUCCAUAUUUGACAUUUAAGGAUAUUGUGGGAUUUAUUGUAUUAAUUAGACCAAAUUUAUUAGGAGAUCCUGAUAAUUUUAUCCCAGCUAAUCCUUUAGUUACACCUGCUCAUAUUCAACCAGAAUGAUAUUUUUUAUUUGCUUAUGCUAUUUUACGAUCAAUCCCAAAUAAAUUAGGAGGAGUUAUUGCAUUAGUUUUAUCAAUCGCAAUUUUAAUACCUUACCUUUUUAUAAUUUAAGAAAAUUAUAUUUUGAUCUAUAUUAGUUAUAGUAAUUUUAUUAACUUGAAUUGGAGCUCGACCAGUUGAAGAACCUUAUGUAUUAAUUGGACAAAUUCUAACUGUUGUAUAUUUCUUAUAUUAUUUAGUAAAUCCAUUAAUCACAAAAUGAUGAGAUAAUUUAUUAAAUUAAAUAGUUAAUGAGCUUAAAUAAGCAUAUGUUUUGAAAACAUAAGAUAGAAUUUAAUUUU